GAUGAACGCUGACAGAAUGCUUAACACAUGCAAGUCGAUGGGGAAGUGGUGCUUGCACCAUGGCAACCAUGGCGGACGGGUGAGUAACGCGUAAGGGACUUACCUGCAGGACUGGGAUAACAGGGGGAAACUCCUGACAAGACCGGAUAAUGUCAUGGAGCUGCAUGGCUUUAUGAUGAAAGGAGACGCCUGCGGAGAGCCUUGCGUCCUAUUAGCUAGUUGGUGAGGUAAUGGCUCACCAAGGCGAAGAUAGGUAGCCGGCCUGAGAGGGUGGACGGCCACAAGGGGACUGAGAUACGGCCCUUACUCCUACGGGAGGCGGCAGUGGGGAAUAUUGGACAAUGGGGGCAACCCUGAUCCAGCAAUUCUGUGUGCACGAAGAAGGUUUUCGGAUUGUAAAGUGCUUUCAGCAGGGAAGAAGUAAGUGACGGUACCUGCAGAAGAAGCGACGGCUAAAUACGUG
This 463-nucleotide ribosomal RNA is filed under the name uncultured bacterium. Its description in RNAcentral is "partial 16S ribosomal RNA". It matches the Rfam family "Bacterial small subunit ribosomal RNA", at positions 28 to 507 of the family's 1533-position model. The record is from RNAcentral.